UACGUAGGGUGCGAGCGUUGUCCGGAAUUACUGGGCGUAAAGAGCUCGUAGGUGGUUUGUCGCGUUGUUCGUGAAAACCGGGGGCUUAACCCUCGGCGUGCGGGCGAUACGGGCAGACUGGAGUACUGCAGGGGAGACUGGAAUUCCCGGUGUAGCGGUGAAAUGCGCAGAUAUCGGGAAGAACACCCGUGGCGAAGGCGGCUCUCUGGAACGCAACUGACGCUGAGGAGCGAAAGCGUGGGGAGCGAACAGG
RNAcentral lists this ribosomal RNA (253 nucleotides) under uncultured bacterium. RNAcentral's name for it is "partial 16S ribosomal RNA". It matches the Rfam family "Bacterial small subunit ribosomal RNA", at positions 524 to 776 of the family's 1533-position model. The record is from RNAcentral.